UUACUCAAAUUUUUUGAUAAAAGUUACUGGCGAUCCCACUGGCAUCCUCGGCAUGCUACAGGCACUCAUCGACAUCUCAUCUAUCUUUUUAUAAUCCAUACUCUAGGUACUCAGGAGUGAAGCUCGGAUUUCUGAAUCCCUGCAUACAUGAUCUUGAUGCGCCCACUUCAACCCAACUAAGAGUGAGCAUCCUCAAGUGAAAACACAUGAACUCAUACGCGCCACAGAUAAACACCAAAACAAAGGAGCACAGGAAGGCAAAAUUGAUAAAAUAGAGCAAGAAUAGGUGAAAUGAAAAUUGAUUAUGCAAAGCCUGAUCUCACAAAUAAUCAACAGGCUUAUUAGCGAGUGGGAGAGAGAAGAGAGUUGAAUUGAAAUGAUAUGAAAAUGACCUUCGGAAAUCACAGAAGAAAAAAUGGACCAUAUUCAUAUCGUUUCUUAUAACACAAGCACAUAAAAACAGAGGUAUAUACAAUCAUUGCAAGUCCCAGUGGAUGCUCAGAAAUCAGCAGAGAAAAGGCCAUAUGACAUCCACACACCAAUAGCUAAAUGAUACCUAACAAUUUACAGAAGCGAAUAAAUUGCAAAGGAUUAAUAGAGAUAGAUAAGAAACCUUCGUGGAAAUACCUCUCUUCUUCCUCUGUUUUCUCUCAGUUUCUCUUCCUCUCUGAAAUAUCCUCUCCUUGAAGCUCAAGACUCUCUGAAAACCGGCAAGAAAACUAUCCCCUCUCUCUCUGCCAGUCCGGCUUGCUUUUCAAGCAAUGCCCUAAAAAAUAUCUCUCUCUAAGCUCUCCAAAAACUCACCUCU
Molecule: long non-coding RNA, 808 nt
Filed under: Vitis vinifera (wine grape)
Lineage: Eukaryota; Viridiplantae; Streptophyta; Magnoliopsida; Vitales; Vitaceae
Description: long non-coding RNA (VVIN_LNC005840)
Source: RNAcentral